GCGGGACUCGGAGCCCACGAUGACCACUUGUAAAAGAGGAACGAUGCUUCGCCCCGCCCUUUAUCAAUAUACUUUGAGCAGAGUAGUAGCGACCUGCGGGAGUCAGAGGCGAUGGACGUUCGCGGCAAGAUCUUUACUAUGAGUCCAGCAUUGAUGGAUGCCUGAUACAGAACAGUAGAUAAGACUGCUAUGAAGACUGAAGUCAAUCAAGUAUACUUCCAUGAAACCAGUGAUGAAGCAUAACCAUGGUUUCCUCACUGAUGCCUGUGGGCUGGCUCUACCAGGCUCUUCCUGUCCAAAAGUCUGGGGUCUCCACAGUCAAUGCUAAGAAACACAAUGACAACUGACUCAAGUCCCCUGUUUAACAGGUGGGGGCCUAAGGGUUGUUAGAAGGAUUAGGUGAGUGGUCUAAGCUUGUGCAAUGGGUAAGCAACCGAGCCAAAGGAGACAAACAGCCUGAGUUUCCCAGCGCACAGAGCAGGAUUAUAUGGGAUUCAGGGAUGUCUUUGGCUGUAGAGUAGAGGAAAUCCCAAUGACGAGAAUCUCAAAGGUGCCCCCUACUUAAGUCACCUUCCUCUCCUAAUCUCUGAGGUCUAGUUUGUUAACAUCUGAAGUUGAGAAGAGUAGAUCCGCCUUUAUUUGGAUACAUUUUUUAAAGGCAAAAGGGAAGAGAAACCAAAGAGGAGAAGGAGCAGCGAGACUUUUCAGACUCCACUUGGAGAGGAAAGGAGCUGGUUUGUAGAAACUGGAAGAAAAACAUGCUGACAUGAGCCACAGGGGUCCACUGUGGUCAGAGGGGGGUUUGCAUCUGGGUUGUCAAAGAGAUGAGACUGUGUCUCUGGGGAGAAUGUAGCACACAAGGCCUGAGUCAACGGUCUCCCUGGAUCCCCAAAAUCUACUCCACCGGCAGAGGGUCCCUAUGUGGGGCCUCAGUUCAGCUUCUUUUAGCGGCCCCUGAAUUGCAUCUUAGAGAAAGACAGGCUAUUUGAGAAGACCCAGCAAACACAACUAUACAACCAUCUUGCAUUCUGAAAAUUUCUCACUUGAGAUCAAUCCAUUCCUUUGCCUAAAACAGACUUUAGCCUGCAUUGCAAUUGCCUACGUGCCGGUUAAACACAGAUGGCUGCCCCACCCCCACUAAGGGUGGGGUCUGAGGAUGUGCAUUUCUCCCAGGUUUACAGAUAACACGCUGCUGCAAAUCUCCACAAGGAGAAAAGCUUGACAAAACUAUGGCCCUUCUCACUGGCUCCUCGUUUCUGGAGAAAUGGAGGACCGAGAUGAGAAGACUGGACUGAAGGUCAGGUGGAAGCUUGGCCUGUCACUUGGUACAAGUCACUUGACCUUUCGAGUUCUCAGCUUUUUUACCUAUGAAAUGAAUUUGAAUAUUUUAACUUUGAAUUUUGACUUAAACAGGUGUGAUUGCUUUGUUUUUUCAGGGCCCCUGUCCCUACUGUGUUGGGAUCACCCAAGAGCUUGUUAGAAAUACAAUGUCUUUAUUCAAUCAUCAUUUUGAACAGACAGCAAUGGUUUUUCUUCCAAAGAUCGUUCUCCCCUUUUGUCUUUAGUAGCGGAUUUGCAGAAUCCAGCUGGUCUCAUAGUAUCCAGAACAAAUAUUCCCUUUCCCAGCAACCUUUGCAGGCAGAUAUGACCAUGUGAGGAAUUCUAGCUACUGGGAUGUGAGUGGAUAUGAUAUUUCAACUUCCAGUUUAUGCUCUUACAA
Non-coding RNA from Heterocephalus glaber (naked mole-rat), 1720 nucleotides. Lineage: Eukaryota; Metazoa; Chordata; Mammalia; Rodentia; Bathyergidae. The record is from RefSeq and is a predicted model, not a curated record.